Molecule: long non-coding RNA, 1407 nt
Organism: Coturnix japonica (Japanese quail)
Lineage: Eukaryota; Metazoa; Chordata; Aves; Galliformes; Phasianidae
Source: RefSeq, a predicted model, not a curated record
UUGAUCUGGAUGUUCUCCAGUAUCACAGAAUUUUACUUUGUUACUGUUUUUAAAGAUCUGGUGAUGCCCUACAGUAUUCUAUUUUCUUGUAAGAAUUAAUUCUUCAGCAUGAGCAACAGAAGGUCUUUACAACUUAGACGCAGAUUUUUUUUAAUCCCCUUCUUAGGGUUUAUCUAAUAAUGAAAAACAAUCUAGUAUUUUUAAUAAAAUAGUUUAUUUUCAUUAAAAGCUUAGACAGAAGUGUCUUAGAAUUUGCCAUCCGCUGAAGGUGGCACCAGUGUGAGAUAAUGGUGUUUGAAAGCUCAUAAUAGAAAUAUGUCGAAAUAUUAUUUACAUUGCUAUGAAAACAUACAUUUAUGAAGAUUUGUCAUCUAAACUUCACAAACUUCACUUCCAUCAACAAAAAGAAUUCCCAAUGAUGAAAUCAUAUCACAUCAAAGCAGCAAUACGAACCAUUUACACACACUCCUCCCCUUGCUCCUGUACUGCUUUAAGAUGACACAAAUUUCCCACAAGUGUUACAUCUUCAUUAUAAAUCUACUUGCUCUGCUGAGAUGCCAUGUUAGAAGGCAAUGGUAAGAAUUCUGAAGAUAAAGAGAGGAAAACAGAAAUGUAUCACAAAAGAGUAAACAUUUUGUUCAUAGCUGUACAAAUGUGUCUUGUAAACACUGGGUGUAAUAAGUAAGGCACGCAAUAUUUUCCACUCACAACAUGUUACCAUGCUAUAAAACAUGCAUAUGUUUUUCAAAAUGGAAGCAGUCCAUUUCAAAAUAUGCUGCUGACUAAAUAUUUGCAGAUAAUCCUGUAUUUUUGGAGUUAGUUGUCUGAUCUCUUCAAUAGGCAUCUAAGCAGUGUCAUCCCACAAUAGAUGCAUAGCAUGCAAUCAGCCUUAUAUUCACAGUGGGAUACUUCUGCUAAUUGCAACAGUUGUAGCUCAGAAUAAGGUAGCGGCUUCUCAGUGAGAUCUAAACAAAUUAAGGUUAAAUUUAAAUUAAUCAAUUGGGGGAAAAAAACAACCCUGUCACUUUUAUAGUUCAUUAGCUAUUAACACUAAUAGCAGUGUAAAGAAGCUGCCAAUUUUCUGGUUAUAUAUUGUAUAGGCUAUUAUCCAGUAAAAGGGAAUAGGCUUCAAAUGUGACUCAAUGGCCUAAGAAUCUAACUCAGUUCUUCUCUGUGCUUUCCAGGGCCAGAUUCUGUGGUGUGCAGACUUUGUGAUGGGCGCAGCCAAGACUGAGAUUUGUGGGAUCCCUGUGAGGAAGCAGCACGUCCCGUGCCCUGCCUCUUGAAUCUCUAAGGAUUUUGCUGUGAGGAAAUAGGUCAGUUCUGCUGGACUAUAUGGACCCUAGAGAAAAGAAAGACAGCAAAGAAGAAAUUCCCAAGACAAAUAUGUCACUCCUUAAAGAAGCA